AUGGACGCUUCAGCUCUCAACGACCCGAGGUUUCAGGCGCUCUUAGAGGAGGAGAAGAAAAAGGCCAUGAUGAAUGAGAUGAUAGCGAAGCUGACUGACACUUGCUGGGACAAAUGCAUCACCGGAAGCAUCGGGAGCAGCUUCAGCAACAGCGAAACCUCUUGCCUGUCCAACUGCGCAAAACGCUUUAUUGAUGUUAAGAUGCUCACCAUGCAACGAGCAAACAGCAGUAGCUAG
RNAcentral lists this ribosomal RNA (237 nucleotides) under Triticum aestivum (bread wheat). Its description in RNAcentral is "partial small subunit ribosomal RNA". Lineage: Eukaryota; Viridiplantae; Streptophyta; Magnoliopsida; Poales; Poaceae. The record is from RNAcentral.